UACGGGAGGCAGCAGUGGGGAAUAUUGCACAAUGGGCGCAAGCCUGAUGCAGCCAUGCCGCGUGUAUGAAAAAGGCCUUCGGGUUGUAAAGUACUUUCAGUCGUGAGGAAGGUGUUAAGGUUAAUAACCUUAGCAAUUGACGUUAGCGACAGAAGAAGCACCGGCUAACUCCGUGCCAGCAGCCGCGGUAAUACGGAGGGUGCGAGCGUUAAUCGGAAUUACUGGGCGUAAAGGGCACGCAGGCGGUUAAUUAAGUUGGAUGUGAAAUCCCCGGGGCUUAACCUGGGAAUGGCAUUCAAGACUGGUUAGCUAGAGUCUUGUAGAGGGGGUAGAAUUCCAUGUGUAGCGGUGAAAUGCGUAGAGAUGUGGAGGAAUACCGGUGGCGAAGGCGGCCCCUGGACAAAGACUGACGCUCAUGUGCGAAAGCGUGGGGAGCAAACAGGGAUUAGAUACC
This 454-nucleotide ribosomal RNA is filed under the name uncultured bacterium. Its description in RNAcentral is "bacterial SSU rRNA". It matches the Rfam family "Bacterial small subunit ribosomal RNA", at positions 340 to 786 of the family's 1533-position model. The record is from RNAcentral.